GCUGGGUGUGGUGGUGCAUUCCUGUAAUCCCAACAGCUUGGGAGGCUGAGGCAGGAGGAUCCACAGGUCAAAGCCAGCCUCAGUAACUGCAAUUCACUAAGCAACUCAGGAAACCCUGUCUCUA
RNAcentral lists this small RNA (124 nucleotides) under Marmota monax (woodchuck). The record is from RNAcentral. Lineage: Eukaryota; Metazoa; Chordata; Mammalia; Rodentia; Sciuridae.